UCCAGACUCCUACGGGAGGCAGCAGUGGGGAAUAUUGCACAAUGGGGGAAACCCUGAUGCAGCAACGCCGCGUGAAGGAAGAAGGCUUUCGGGUUGUAAACUUCUUUUAAGAGGGAAGAGCAGAAGACGGUACCUCUUGAAUAAGCCACGGCUAACUACGUGCCGGCAGCCGCGGUAAUACGUAGGGAGCAAGCGUUGUCCGGAAUUACUGGGUGUAAAGGGAGCGUAGGCGGGAUGGCAAGUAGAAUGUUAAAUCCAUCGGCUCAACCGGUGGCUGCGUUCUAAACUGCCGUUCUUGAGUGAAGUAGAGGCAGGCGGAAUUCCUAGUGUAGCGGUGAAAUGCGUAGAUAUUAGGAGGAACACCAGUGGCGAAGGCGGCUUUCUGGCUCAUAACUGACGCUGAGGCGCGAAAGCGUGGGGAGCAAACAGGAUUAGAUACCCCGUAAG
Molecule: ribosomal RNA, 447 nt
Filed under: uncultured bacterium
Lineage: Bacteria
Description: partial 16S ribosomal RNA
Rfam family: Bacterial small subunit ribosomal RNA
Source: RNAcentral